Molecule: ribosomal RNA, 492 nt
Filed under: uncultured bacterium
Lineage: Bacteria
Description: partial 16S ribosomal RNA
Rfam family: Bacterial small subunit ribosomal RNA
Source: RNAcentral
AGUGAACGCUGGCGGUAGGCCUAACACAUGCAAGUCGAACGGCAGCACAGUAAGAGCUUGCUCUUACGGGUGGCGAGUGGCGGACGGGUGAGGAAUACACCGGAAUCUACUUUUUCGUGGGGGAUAACGUAGGGAAACUUACGCUAAUACCGCAUACGACCUACGGGUGAAAGCAGGGGACCUUCGGACCUUGCGCGAUUGAAUGAGCCGAUGUCGGAUUAGCUAGUUGGCGGGGUAAAGGCCCACCAAGGCGACGAUCCGUAGCUGGUCUGAGAGGAUGAUCAGCCACACUGGAACUGAGACACGGUCCAGACUCCUACGGGAGGCAGCAGUGGGGAAUAUUGGACAAUGGGCGCAAGCCUGAUCCAGCCAUACCGCGUGGGUGAAGAAGGCCUUCGGGUUGUAAAGCCCUUUUGUUGGGAAAGAAAAGCAGCAGGUUAAUACCCCGCUGUUCUGACGGUACCCAAAGAAUAAGCACCGGCUAACUUCGUG